UCCCGUGUUCCUCGGGCCUACGCGCUGAUAAGAAAAAAAAACAAGACUAGAUCGCUCAUUGGCCACCGUAGCGGAAGUCGCCGGAAGCAGAUACCCGCCAUCUUGAUACUCCCAAAACAGCCAUGCCGACCUGUGCAGCGAUUAAAUGCCUUAAUCGUCAGUUUCGUGGCUGUGAGAAAACCUUCCACAGGUUCCCUCAAAAUAUGCACCUGAAGAAGAAAUGGAUUGCGAACACGAAAAGAAAGAAGUACACACCCUCGGCGACAGCAGUGUUGUGCUCGGAUCACUUCGAGGAAAGUGCUUUCGACCGGACCGGGCAGACAACGCGCCUGCGAAAGGAUGCAGUCCCCACAAUAUUUCAGUUUCCAGACCACCUAAAGAAAAAGUAUAAGCCCAGAAACCCUCGCCCCAGAAAGCAAACAGCAAGCAGCUCCGGUGACAAUGUGCACAGUCAGGACAGCAUUCCACUUCCAGACGUGCCAGGUCCAUCCGAACCAGGACCAAGUCAUAAUGACCACAGCUACUGCAUAAAAGAGAGCCCACGAUAUCUGAAACAUCAAAUUAAUCAAGCUUUGGACACCAUUCAGGCUCUGAAGAAAAGGCUGAAAUUUUCCCAACAGAAAACAAGACGAUUGAAAAAGAAGGUUUUGUCGCUCUCCGCAGUUGUCAAGACUUUAAAGGACAAAAACUUGAUUCCAACAAAUUGUGCCAACCUGUUGGAAAAGACCUAUUCUGGAGUUCCCCUGAAAAGAACCAGGAGGAUACUUAACAACAAAGAAAGGGGCAGUUUAACCAAAUAAUCAUACCCAGAAGUUUUGAAGUCCUUUGCAUUGACUCUGCGGUUUUAUUCCACAAAAGCAGACAGAUAUGUGAGAAAAAAACUUUCAGCCUUGCGCUUCCUCGGUUAUCGGCAAUAAAUAUUUUUCAGUGACGUCACGGCGACCACGUGUUUUUUUUUUGUUUGUUUGUUUACAACCCCGUUUUGGACGGCAAGAUUGUGAUUGUGUCGACGUCAGCGGGGUGCGACGAGACAGGACAAUAAGGAAGUGAGCUAGAGAGGUUGGCGGGGAGGGGGGGAUAAAAAUCACCCACGUGAAAAAGUUGCACUCACAUCUACGUUAUUCAAUAACACGACAGCAAGAUCAUAACGUGGCGUCAGAGUGACGGUAGUGUAACUACGGACUUAUGUUGCUACGCCACCCAGCGGCCUGGCAUACACAAGUCUGGACACUCUUUGAGUGGCCUUCCUCUUCUCUUAUUGGUCAAAUUUAUGUCAUGUUAAGGACGCCAUGUUGUUACCCAUUUAAUAGCAAGGCCUUCGGAAACGUUGGUUAAUUUGGUCACGCCGUUCUUUCUCAUCUGAAUAAUUGAUGCCGGCCAUGAUAUUAAUCUCAUAUAACACAAAGUAUGGGAAAUAUAUCUUACAGAUAGUAUAUUUUCAAAAUGGUCAACUAAGUCGCAUUAUGUCAUGAUGUCAACAAUAGCGGGUGAUAAUCGCCACAUACGCUGCUUG
Syngnathoides biaculeatus (alligator pipefish) is the source of this 1513-nucleotide long non-coding RNA. RefSeq lists it as uncharacterized. NCBI's taxonomy places the organism in Eukaryota, Metazoa, Chordata, Actinopteri, Syngnathiformes, Syngnathidae. The record is from RefSeq and is a predicted model, not a curated record. The transcript has 3 exons.